RNAcentral lists this long non-coding RNA (1568 nucleotides) under Olea europaea (common olive). Its description in RNAcentral is "long non-coding RNA (OEUR_LNC011791)". Lineage: Eukaryota; Viridiplantae; Streptophyta; Magnoliopsida; Lamiales; Oleaceae. The record is from RNAcentral.
AAUUUUGAUCUACUAACAUAAUGACUAGCAAACAUUUUCCUCGAGGACUUAGCAUGGGAAAUGCAAUCCAGAAAUGAGAAAAAGAAUUUCUCAAACAAACCAGGAUACUAAGGCAAAAAUGAGAAAAUAAUCUCUCACAGAAUCCAGGAUGAUAAGGCACUAGAAAAGGUCUGUGGGAUAUGCCCAAGAAAUUGAGGAAUGCGAAUAAAAAACAUGUGCAAGCAUCCACUCAAUACACAGGAUACGUCCAGGUUGGUUUAACACUCGAAGGUAAUAUGAUAUUCAAGCUCUUCAAAAUAUUACGUUUCACUCCUGUAAGGACAGAAAAAUAUUAAAGCUCUUCAAAGUAUUACGUUUUACUCCUGUAAGGAAAAAUAAGUGCAGAACUGAUACAGUUCACGAUUGUCUAUGAAGUGGUUGCCCCCUUUUAAUGGGGUAUUACGUUUUACUCCUGUAAGGAUGAAUAAAUGCAGAACUGGCUCAGCACACAAUUGUGUAUGCAGAGAAGCCCCAUUUUAAUGGGGCAUGGAAGUUCAGUUCUUCCUUUCUCUUCUAACGAUUAAAGUAAAUAUAUGCCAUAAUUUUUACCAUAAAUUGAAGUAUCCAGCUUUCUAUGAUCUUGCCAUAUACUGUUUACAUGGAUGUUCCUCAAGAUUAUGGGGUUGCAGAAGGGGAAGAAGAAUAUUGAAGCAAACAGUAAGUAUGAAAAGCUACACAAAAUAGAGGAGUUUUUGAACAUAACUAUCACCUGUUCAUCAAGGUUCGCUGAAGAAUUUCCUAUUCCAAUGGAGGAAUCAUCAGCAAUUCCUUCAGUAGUUUCCAUGAAGCCCUGAAAAAUGAAGGAAAUGAAAUAGACACUGAAGAAUAUGGAUUGCUACUAAGAUGCAAAAACAACAAGAAACCAUGAGUACAUGUCGUAUCAAAAGCGCUUUUUUCAAAUGCUGAUAAAAAUAUCAUUGAUCAGCUGAGGCUGUAUUGAUCAAGUACAAGGAGAAGCAUGAUCAGAGAGAAAUCACACACACUCUUCUACCUAACUGUUCCCCAGAUGGAGUAGCGUUCUGUUUUUCCCUUCACCACUCAUUUCUAUUUUAAGAUUUCUUGCUUACCAAAUAUAAUAUAUCUCAACAAGGAGAACCGCUGCAAGGGCAUCAUCACACAUUGACAAAGCAGGAGCAUGAUUACGGUCUAUUGGCCAAAGUGUAUAGCUUUAUGCAGCUUUAUGCUCAUGCACUUCAGUUAAUUUAUGUAUUCAAUUUGUAUUUAUUUUCUUUACUUGUAAGCAUAUGUACACACUGAUCAAACUGAGGAAGAAUAUCAAGACCCUCAAGGAUCCUCUCAAUGCCCUUCUUCAUUUUCGUUACUUUUCUUGAGCAGAUACAAUGCACCUACCCUGACACUUCCACUCUAGUAAUAGUGGUACAUAAUUGAUUGCGAUUGAUAUAAGCUCAUGCUCCCCCUUCUACAAAUUUAAUCAAAACUAUUUAUAUGAAAAUAUCCAUGUAAAUGAAUGGCAGAAAACAUAAUUCUAGAGGGUGUUUGAGUUCCAUUUUUUUGAAAAAAAAAAAAAA